AAAGACUUAAUUCUUUGGUUUCCGUGUCCAACGUUUGACCGUCCGUCUUAUAUGAAUUUUUUUAUGACUAGCAUUUUCAUUAUUGAUAGAUGAUAAAACAUGAAUAAUACUUUAUACAUGACUUAUCUUUUUAAUUUUUUUAUAUUUUUUUAAAAUAAGACGGACGGAGAAACGUUAGACACAGAAAUCUAGGAAUUGAUUUUUU
This is a microRNA precursor of Oryza sativa Japonica Group (Japanese rice), 205 nucleotides long. It matches the Rfam family "MIR812 microRNA precursor family". NCBI's taxonomy places the organism in Eukaryota, Viridiplantae, Streptophyta, Magnoliopsida, Poales, Poaceae. The record is from Rfam.